UACGGAGGGUGCAAGCGUUAUCCGGAUUUAUUGGGUUUAAAGGGUGCGUAGGCGGAUAGGUAAGUCAGUGGUGAAAGCCUACAGCUCAACUGUAGAACUGCCAUUGAUACUGUCUAUCUUGAGUGUAAAUGAAGUGGGCGGAAUGUAGCAUGUAGCGGUGAAAUGCAUAGAUAUGCUACAGAACACCAAUUGCGAAGGCAGCUCACUAACAUACAACUGACGCUCAUGCACGAAAGCGUGGGGAUCAAACAGG
This 253-nucleotide ribosomal RNA is filed under the name uncultured prokaryote. RNAcentral describes it as "partial 16S ribosomal RNA". It matches the Rfam family "Bacterial small subunit ribosomal RNA", at positions 524 to 776 of the family's 1533-position model. The record is from RNAcentral.